This 150-nucleotide transfer RNA is filed under the name Candidatus Aenigmatarchaeota archaeon. RNAcentral's name for it is "tRNA-Asn". Lineage: Archaea; Nanobdellati; Candidatus Aenigmatarchaeota. The record is from RNAcentral.
GUCCCGGUAGCUCAGUGGUAAUUUGGAAGUAAGCAGAUUCCAUCUGCUUCAAUCGCUAGAGAGCGUUCGGCUGUUAACCGAAAGGUCGCAGGUUCAAAGGACGUUUGACGCAGGUUUUACCUGCGUCGUUCGAAACUCCUGCCCGGGACG